CCUACGGGAGGCAGCAGCUAAGAAUAUUCCGCAAUGGACGAAAGUCUGACGGAGCGACGCCGCGUGGAUGAUGAAGGCCGAAAGGUUGUAAAGUCCUUUUGCUGGGGAAGAAUAAGCGUGGGAGGGAAUGCCCGGGUGAUGACAUGAACCGGCGAAUAAGCCCCGGCUAACUACGUGCCAGCAGCCGCGGUAAUA
This 195-nucleotide ribosomal RNA is filed under the name uncultured bacterium. RNAcentral describes it as "partial 16S ribosomal RNA". It matches the Rfam family "Bacterial small subunit ribosomal RNA", at positions 338 to 525 of the family's 1533-position model. The record is from RNAcentral.